Molecule: transfer RNA, 66 nt
Filed under: Sibylla pretiosa
Lineage: Eukaryota; Metazoa; Arthropoda; Insecta; Mantodea; Hymenopodidae
Description: tRNA-Glu
Source: RNAcentral
AUUUAUAUAGUUUAAGUAAAACAUUACAUUUUCAUUGUAAAAAUAAAAUUUUAAUUUUUAUAAAUA